AAAAUGAUAGGUUUUAUAUCUUGGUUGACUCAUUAUAGUUACAAAGCAACACGUAGAUUGACAGCUCCAAGGUAUUUUCGUAUAUCACAGAAAAUUAUAAACCUGCAGAUACUCUCUUCUCCAUAACUUUGUUUUUGGAUUACCUUAGCUUUUUCUCUGUGAACUUCGGACUUUAUGUUGCUGUGUCUACUCAAUUGAAAGAUCCUCUUUUGAUAUUUUGCUUGGUUUUCCUGUUGGGUUUCUCUGAAGAAUACAUUGUCUGCUAAUCAGAGGUUAUAGCGACUGCUACUUGAGAAGUUCUAUUUUGAAUUUUUUACUUAUUUCAAGGUAAUUAUUAUAUAGGAUAAUUUUAUUUUACUGAUGGUAUUUUGUGUGUUACUAUGAUUUUGGUCGAGGUUACCAAAUCAAAGAAAAGGAUACAACAAAUUCUCAUGUAAGGGUAAAAGUUUUUUGUAAAUCAGCUCUUAAAAGUUUUUUAUAAAUCAGCUAAUCCCCUGGUAAUUCAUAGUAUUCUGAUUCUUUUUUGUUCUCUAAAAUUAAUAGAUCUUAUUACAGUAAUAAUCAAUGUUUUAAUCAUUUCUUGAAUUCUUGAUUUAAUCCAUCUAAAUAUUAUGUCUUUAUAUUUGCGCUUUUUUUAUCUUUUCCUUUUCGGUAAGUUUCCCAAGAUAUUUUUCAGUUUCAAUUUACUAAUUAGACUCAAAUUUACCUAAAAUACAGGUUUGAAAAUUGUGUCUUUUGGUAAGCCGUUUUAUCCUUUUCCCCUUUUAGCUAAGUUCUCCAAGUCAUUUUCCAGUAUGAGGCCAGCGCCUUUGUUAUGUAAAAUCAAUAAUUGUAUUUAAGUUAAAUUUAAUGUUUUUAUACUAUUGUUUUACAAGAUAUAUAGCAAAUUGCCAUAACUUUACGAAUGUAUUAUAGACGCUAUGAAUGGUAAUCAUCUUUACUGGGACUGAUUGUGAAUGUGAAUGCUUUUCUUUAUUUUCAUUUCUUUUCUUUUUCUUUCUCUUUUUCUUUUUCUUUUUAAAUUAUCAGCUCAUAACAAAUUUAUAUAUAUACAAAUUCAGGAGUUCUUAUUCUCAUCUUUCCGUUAGACGUGCUAAUAGUUAGUGGUGGUUUUUGAAGGUAUAAAAUUACUACCAAUGACUUCUCUUCUCUAAGUGUUUGAAUAAAUUCUUCAAUGAAUUACCAUUUCUAUUAAAUUUGUUAUGCAUAUUUCUAUCUUCUCGAUCUUUUAAGUGUUUGUGAUUUAUUUUUAUCCCCGUUGUCUUGAGGAGUAUUAAUGGCUUUUAUUCUCAUUUUCCUGGGGCUAAUAUCAUAACUACUGCUUGGAAGAUGAAAUAAGUCAUAAUUUUAAAAAAAUCAGGUUUUCUUUAUCUUUCGAUAUCAGAGUUCAUUCAUUCAGUUGGAUGCCUUUGAAAGGAAAAUUGUUAGUUUGAUCAACAUAUGCAUAAGUUGUUGUCAAUUUUGAUUUCUUUAGCCUUAUGAUGAUUAGGGGAAGAGGCUGGAUCAAUGGAGGGCUGACAUUAGUUUGCCGUUAGAGCCAAUUUACUGGUGUAUCAAAAUGAUAUGUAAUUUCUCAUGCAUAUUUGUUUUCAUAGUCUGAUAAUGGUUUGUGUAGAGCAAUUUAGCAACUUUAAGAGAAGUUUAUUCAUUUUUUUGGCAGCGAUCAAGUUUUGUGACUAUAAAAAGAUGUGACGACCAGGCCGAUCGUCUUAAGAAUUAA
This 1720-nucleotide long non-coding RNA is filed under the name Nicotiana tabacum (common tobacco). Its description in RNAcentral is "long non-coding RNA (NTAB_LNC015393)". The record is from RNAcentral. Lineage: Eukaryota; Viridiplantae; Streptophyta; Magnoliopsida; Solanales; Solanaceae.